UGAGUAACGCGUAUCCAACCUACCCUAUAGUAGAGGAUAGCCCGGCGAAAGUCGGAUUAAUACUCUAUGUUUUCCGUUGCAGACAUCUAAGAUGGAACAAAGGCUUGCCGCUAUAGGAGUGGGGAUGCGUCUGAUUAGGUAGUCGGCGGGGUAACGGCCCACCAAGCCGACGAUCAGUAGGGGUUCUGAGAGGAAGGUCCCCCACAUUGGUACUGAGACACGGACCAAACUCCUACGGGAGGCAGCAGUGAGGAAUAUUGGUCAAUGGACGAGAGUCUGAACCAGCCAAGUAGCGUGCAGGACGACUGCCCUAUGGGUUGUAAACUGUCUUUUAUAGGGGAAUAAAGUCCACUACGUGUAGUGGUUUGUAUGUACCCUAUGAAUAAGGACCGGCUAAUUCCGUGCCAGCCGCUGC
Molecule: ribosomal RNA, 415 nt
Filed under: uncultured bacterium
Lineage: Bacteria
Description: bacterial SSU rRNA
Rfam family: Bacterial small subunit ribosomal RNA
Source: RNAcentral